Molecule: ribosomal RNA, 460 nt
Filed under: uncultured bacterium
Lineage: Bacteria
Description: partial 16S ribosomal RNA
Rfam family: Bacterial small subunit ribosomal RNA
Source: RNAcentral
CCUACGGGCGGCAGCAGUGAGGAAUAUUGGUCAAUGGGCGUAAGCCUGAACCAGCCAAGUCGCGUGAGGGAUGAAGGCUCUAUGGAUCGUAAACCUCUUUUAUAAGGGAAUAAAGUGUGGGCCAUGUCCUAUUUUGUAUGUACCUUAUGAAUAAGGAUCGGAUAACUCCGUGCCGGCAGCCGCGGUAAUACGGCGGAUCCGAGCGUUAUCCGGAUUUAUUGGGUUUAAAGGGUGGUUAGGCGGCGUUUUAAGUCAGUGGUGAAAGUUUGUGGCUGAACCAUAGAAUUGACGUUGAAACUGGGGGGCUUGAGUAUGUUUGAGGCAGGUGGAAUGCGUGGUGUAGCGGUGAAAUGCUUAGAUAUCACGCAGAACCCCGAUUGCGAAGGCAGCCUGCUAAGCCAUGACUGACGCUGAUGCACGAAAGCGUGGGGAUCAAACAGGAUUAGAUACCCCUGUAGUC